UACAGCCUCUAGUAGUUUUUGUUGAAUAAUAUGGCAGAACCUACAAAUAAUGUAAUAGGAAGCUAACGGUUUUUUGGUGUGCACGCCCUCCGACAUAGUGCGAUUGAGGGAAGCCUAAAAGAAAAUCACAAAGCUACCACUUUUUUGGAAGUGGGUUUCUCCUAUCUUAGAAAAUUACAAGAGGCCUCUU
This 190-nucleotide non-coding RNA is filed under the name Pigmentibacter sp. JX0631. RNAcentral describes it as "6S RNA". It matches the Rfam family "6S / SsrS RNA". From Rfam's summary of the family: E. coli 6S RNA was the first non coding RNA to be sequenced, but its function was unknown until recently. It consists of 184 nucleotides that fold into an extended hairpin structure with a large single-stranded internal bulge. The 6S RNA specifically associates with RNA polymerase holoenzyme containing the sigma70 specificity factor. The record is from RNAcentral. Lineage: Bacteria; Pseudomonadati; Bdellovibrionota; Oligoflexia; Silvanigrellales; Silvanigrellaceae.